RNAcentral lists this ribosomal RNA (374 nucleotides) under Acanthurus triostegus (convict surgeonfish). RNAcentral's name for it is "partial 12S ribosomal RNA". It matches the Rfam family "Bacterial small subunit ribosomal RNA", at positions 801 to 1384 of the family's 1533-position model. The record is from RNAcentral. Lineage: Eukaryota; Metazoa; Chordata; Actinopteri; Acanthuriformes; Acanthuridae.
CAUUGAUGGUAAUUUACAACUACCAUCCGCCUGGGAACUACGAGCACCAGCUUAAAACCCAAAGGACUUGGCGGUGCUUUAGACCCACCUAGAGGAGCCUGUUCUAGAACCGAUAACCCCCGUUCAACCUCACCCUUCCUUGUUCUUCCCGCCUAUAUACCACCGUCGUCAGCUUACCCUAUGAAGGGUUAAUAGUAAGCAAAACUGGCAAAGCCCAAAACGUCAGGUCGAGGUGUAGCGUAUGGAAGGGGAAGAAAUGGGCUACAUUCACUAACCCAGUGCACACGGAUGACACCCUGAAACAGAUGUCUGAAGGAGGAUUUAGCAGUAAGUAGAAAAUAGAGUGUUCUUCUGAAACUGGCCCUGAAGCGCGC